This 1421-nucleotide ribosomal RNA is filed under the name uncultured organism. RNAcentral describes it as "16S ribosomal RNA". It matches the Rfam family "Bacterial small subunit ribosomal RNA". The record is from RNAcentral.
GAUGAACGCUAGCUACAGGCUUAACACAUGCAAGUCGAGGGGCAGCAUGGUCUUAGCUUGCUAAGGCCGAUGGCGACCGGCGCACGGGUGAGUAACACGUAUCCAACCUGCCGUCUACUCUUGGACAGCCUUCUGAAAGGAAGAUUAAUACAAGAUGGCAUCAUGAGUCCGCAUGUUCACAUGAUUAAAGGUAUUCCGGUAGACGAUGGGGAUGCGUUCCAUUAGAUAGUAGGCGGGGUAACGGCCCACCUAGUCUUCGAUGGAUAGGGGUUCUGAGAGGAAGGUCCCCCACAUUGGAACUGAGACACGGUCCAAACUCCUACGGGAGGCAGCAGUGAGGAAUAUUGGUCAAUGGGCGAGAGCCUGAACCAGCCAAGUAGCGUGAAGGAUGACUGCCCUAUGGGUUGUAAACUUCUUUUAUAAAGGAAUAAAGUCGGGUAUGCAUACCCGUUUGCAUGUACUUUAUGAAUAAGGAUCGGCUAACUCCGUGCCAGCAGCCGCGGUAAUACGGAGGAUCCGAGCGUUAUCCGGAUUUAUUGGGUUUAAAGGGAGCGUAGAUGGAUGUUUAAGUCAGUUGUGAAAGUUUGCGGCUCAACCGUAAAAUUGCAGUUGAUACUGGAUAUCUUGAGUGCAGUUGAGGCAGGCGGAAUUCGUGGUGUAGCGGUGAAAUGCUUAGAUAUCACGAAGAACUCCGAUUGCGAAGGCAGCCUGCUAAGCUGCAACUGACAUUGAGGCUCGAAAGUGUGGGUAUCAAACAGGAUUAGAUACCCUGGUAGUCCACACGGUAAACGAUGAAUACUCGCUGUUUGCGAUAUACAGCAAGCGGCCAAGCGAAAGCGUUAAGUAUUCCACCUGGGGAGUACGCCGGCAACGGUGAAACUCAAAGGAAUUGACGGGGGCCCGCACAAGCGGAGGAACAUGUGGUUUAAUUCGAUGAUACGCGAGGAACCUUACCCGGGCUUAAAUUGCAGAUGAAUUACGGUGAAAGCCGUAAGCCGCAAGGCAUCUGUGAAGGUGCUGCAUGGUUGUCGUCAGCUCGUGCCGUGAGGUGUCGGCUUAAGUGCCAUAACGAGCGCAACCCUUGUUGUCAGUUACUAACAGGUUCCGCUGAGGACUCUGACAAGACUGCCAUCGUAAGAUGUGAGGAAGGUGGGGAUGACGUCAAAUCAGCACGGCCCUUACGUCCGGGGCUACACACGUGUUACAAUGGGGGGGUACAGAGGGCCGCUACCACGCGAGUGGAUGCCAAUCCCAAAAACCUCUCUCAGUUCGGACUGGAGUCUGCAACCCGACUCCACGAAGCUGGAUUCGCUAGUAAUCGCGCAUCAGCCACGGCGCGGUGAAUACGUUCCCGGGCCUUGUACACACCGCCCGUCAAGCCAUGGGAGCCGGGGGUACCUGAAGUGCGUAACCGCGAGGAG